Molecule: ribosomal RNA, 647 nt
Filed under: uncultured bacterium
Lineage: Bacteria
Description: bacterial SSU rRNA
Rfam family: Bacterial small subunit ribosomal RNA
Source: RNAcentral
UCGAACGCGAAAGUUCCUUCGGGGGGCGAGUAGAGUGGCGUCCGGGUGAGUAAAACCACGUAGGUAAUCUACCUUUGGGUGGGGAAUAACAAUCGGAAACGGUUGCUAAUACCGAUAAUGCAGCGGCACCGCAUGGUGACAGUUGUUAAAGCGGGGGAUCGCAAGACCUCGCGCCUAAAGAGGAGCCUGUGGGGAUUAGCUAGUUGGCAGGGUAACGGCCUUACCAAGGGCAACGAUCCGUAACCGGCCUGAGAGGGCGGUCGGCCACACUGACACUGAAAUACGGGUCAGACUCCUACGGGAGGCAGCAGUCGGGAAUUUUGGGCAAUGGGCGCAAGCCUGACCCAGCAACGCCGCGUGAAGGAUGAAAUCCCUCGGGAUGUAAACUUCGCAAGAAUGGGAAGAAUAAGUAGGGGAUAAUACCCCCUAUGAUGACGGUACCAUUUGUAAGCUGCGGCUAACUACGUGCCAGCAGCCGCGGUAAUACGUAGGCAGCAAGCGUUGUUCGGAGUUACUGGGCGUAAAGGGUGCGUAGGCGGCUAUUUAAGUUUGGUGUGAAAUCUCCCGGCUCAACUGGGAGGGUGCGCCGAAUACUGAGUGGCUAAGUGCGGGAAGGAAAGUGGAAUUCCUGGUGUACGGUGAAAAAU